GCAGGAUCAGACAGGCAAUCAUCAACAACAUACUCUGAAUUUAAGAAUGACCACCACACAGUAAGAGAACUGGAAUUUGGAGGAAAACUUCAGCUCUGAGAACUUUCACACAGAAAACUAACAAAGAAAUUCUGGACUUAAACUUGACACUUGCCCAGUUGGUCUUAAUAGACAUCUAAAGAAUACUCCACCCAACAACUACAGAAUAUAUAUUCGUCUCAUCUGCAGACACAACAUACUUUAAAAAUGACUGCAUGUUUGGUCAGAGAGUCUCAACAAAUUUGGAAAAAUUAAAAUUAUACCCAACAUAUUCUCAGGUCGAAUGAAAUGCAAAUAGAAAUUACUGCCAAGAGGAAUUCUCAAAACCACACAAAUACGUGGAAAUUAAACACAUUGAUCCUGAAUGACCUUUGUAAAGCAAGAAAAUUAAGGCAAAAAUCAAAAAAUUAUUUGAAAAAAACAAAAAUUGUGACACAGUGUAACAAAACCUGUGAUAUUGCAAAAGAAGUGAUAAGAUUUGUAGCACUAAAUGCCUACAUCAAGAAAAUAGAAAUAUCUUGUUAACAACCUAACAUUACACCUAAAGAAAUAGAGAAAGAAGAACUAAAUUCUAAAUGAAGAACCCAGUUCUAGCAGAAGAAAAGAAAGAAUUAAAAUCAGAACAGAACUAAGUGAAAUUGAGAUAAAGAAAACUAUUCAAAGGAUCAACAAAAUGAAAAGUUUGUUUUUUGAAAGGAUAAACAAAAUUGAUAGACUGCUAGAUAAACAAAGGAAAAAAAGAAGAUCCAAAUAAGCACAAUCAGAUAUGACAAAGGUAACAUUACAACUGAUCUCGCAGAAAUAUAAAAGAUCCUCAGAGAUUACUAUGAACAUCUCUAUGCACACAACUAGAAAAUCUAGAGGAAAUAGAUAAAUUCCUGGAAAUAUACAACCUCCCAAGAUUGAAUCUGGAAGAAAAAGACACCCUAAAGAGACCAGUAAUGAGUUACAAAAUUGAAUAAGUAAUAAUAAAAAACUUACUAACCAGAAAAGCACCGGACCAGAUGGAUUUACAGCCAAAUUAUACCAGAUGUACAAAGAAGACAUCCUCAUCAAAUGACUUCCUCCAUACAGGCUCCAUCUGCACUGCCUGUUUUCUACUAGGUUAAAACUCUCUCCAAAGGCCACAUUUGACAGUGUGACUGCUAAUGCCAAGUCAAGACAAGAAAAUCAGGAAGGCUUUCUCUCUUUCUUGUAGACUGAUGACCUUUUUGAAACAUAUUACAAAAUAGGAUGCAUUGAAGGAAGCAUCUGGGGAUUGCUCAGCAUAUAUUUUGAAGCAUUCACUUGCUUUAUGCAGUAAGCAAGGGAAAAUGUUACAGAUUUU
Molecule: long non-coding RNA, 1366 nt
Filed under: Homo sapiens (human)
Lineage: Eukaryota; Metazoa; Chordata; Mammalia; Primates; Hominidae
Description: HSALNT0302466
Source: RNAcentral